Homo sapiens (human) is the source of this 949-nucleotide long non-coding RNA. Ensembl annotates it as long intergenic non-protein coding RNA 2057. Lineage: Eukaryota; Metazoa; Chordata; Mammalia; Primates; Hominidae. The record is from Ensembl.
GCCUUGAGUACACCCUCACAGCGCUGCUCGUGGGGCAAGCAUGCCUGGGAGAUGACCUGGGGCACCACGCCCUGCCUAUCUCAGACAAGGAACUCCAGGCAGCAGUGGCGAAGCUAAGCAGCUCCAUCCUUAAGGGGCGGAGGCCGGCUCAUAUUUGCCUAUUAGGGCCGUGGGACGCCGAGGUUCUGCUGGGUCCCUCCUGGAAAUAGAUCCUUCCCAGCCAGCACCCGAAGUCAGCAGCAGAGGGCAAAGCACCUGGGCUUUAUUUAGCUCCAAGCUCCACGAUCCUCCUGGGACUGAGAUAUCUUUGUCAUUUACCUGGGAUUUACAGGGACCAAAAAGCUGGACAUCAUUCACCACUGGGAACAGCAUAUUGUUCCUGGAAGAGGCAAAAGCCUAGGGCUUCAAGAUGCCGGGGCUUUAAGAAACCAAGGCAUGACCUCAAGUGAUUUGCCGGAGGUGGCCUCGGUGGCAGCAGUCAUUGAAGAAAGGAAGACAGCUGCCCAGCCAGUCUGACAGACCAUACACAGACAGCCCUGUUCACAGGGAGGGUGCAUCUGAGAUCAAUGGCCAAAGAAAAUGGGCUCUGAACAGUGCUUCACUGUCACAUCCAGGAUCUGGAAAGUUGUAUUUGAGUGCUGGGUUUGAUAUACGUUAACUAGAAGAUAAAACAUGCCGACUAUGGCUAGCAGACACAGUGCCCCAUCAUGCCUGAACAAAAAGAUAUUUUAUACCAGAAGUGCGGAACAGGAUUUUUUGCAGUUUUGCUAGAAUCCUUGUCACAGUGCUUAAUAAUGUUACAUCAUUUAGAUAAUAAUUUUUCUAGUUUUCAGUUUACCUAAUAGUACGUGUUCAAUUAUUUUAUGGAGCUUUUUCAAUCAGAACAACAUCGUACCUGUCUUUUCAGUGUAUUAUUCCCAAAUAAAAGUUUAACCUCUUUUCGGAAUCU